GCAAGUCGUUACUUGUCCUGAAUGCACGACCUUCUUUCUUUGAGCAAGAGGACAAACCUGGGUAGGGAUCUCUAUGAUGUUUUCUGCGUUGCCCGUGGACGUUCAUCUUUCUGAUUUGUUAGCUGAAGAUGAGGAUCUGGAGCAGGAGCUCGGAGUGCCAUUGUUCCAUGGGCAGAUGUGCAGCAGAGAUUAGCAUUAGGAAGACAAGCAGGGCCUUCAGUAGGCAUAAGGUGAUGAGGUUCAUGCCGUUGGAUCCCACGGGUGCCCUGGGGAAGAGAUGGUUGGGAAGUCUGAGAGGAAGCAGGAGAGCUUUCGGAGCACAUGGAUGCCGUCCAGAAUGGAGAUGGUUGUGGCUCGGAAGAAAAAGAAAUCACCCAGCUCGGAGUCAGGAUACAUUUGGAGGUCCAGGCCGCCGAGUUUGCUGGUGGGGAAGAUAGGCACCAGAAAGGAAAGAGGACAUCCAGGGCAAUUUCUUCUGCCCCCCAGCCAAUCCGUACAUUGUCCAGAGGGUCUUGCUCUGUCAUCCAGGCUGGCGCGAUCUCGGCUCACUUUGACCUCUGCCUCCUGGGUUCAAGCGAUUCUCCUGUCACAGCCUCCUGAGCAGCUGGGAUUACAGGCAGGCACCACCAUGCUGAGCUAAUUUUUGUAUUUUUAGUAGAGACCAGGUUUCGCCAUGUUGCCCAGGCUACUCUCGAACUCCUGGCCUCAUGUGAUCCGCCCACCUCAGCCUCCCAAAGUGCUGGGAUUACAGGCGUGAGCCACUGCAACCAGCUGGAACAAUCUUGAUAUUAGGGUGAACAAGUGAUUUCAUAGCUUUCUCUGAAGGAGGAAACACUGGGAGCAUCCACCCGAGAAUCAACACUGUGGAUCAUUCUGGGGAGUUAAUAGUUUUGAGAUGUGUCCCAAGAUAAUUGUUAGCUUGAAUUACCACGUGGAUGGAACCAUGCUGAUCCUAAGAGCCAGGUAAUGGCCAAAGGUGCCAUUCAGGUGAAAUCCCCAGGUGGAAAAUUCUUCCACUUCCAAUGAUAGAAUUCUAUUACUCUGCCUAUAGUUUGGUGAAACAAGACUUUACAAAUAGAGGACAAGAUCCAUUUUGCCAAGAACAACCAUAUGGAUUUAACUGCUGCUAACAACCGUUAGGAAGGAACAUCAAUAAAAAGCAAGCCUGUGAGACAACUCCUUCCCCAAGGGGCGCUUGUUACAGAGCGCGGGCCCCAGCAGGCCUGGUCCAUCCUCCACAUUCUUUCCUCUCUGACUUAUUUUUACUUUCUGUUUGAAUUGGCUUGGUUUUAUUUUGCCCUAAACUGUGUCUGUAGUCAUCCCCCGACAGAGUUUUGAGAGUGAAAGUCCGAUCUGCCCACGCUUCACAGAACUCAAUGCGGAGCCUUCUCAGGAGUCACUUGACGUCAAGGCUGACUUUUAAAUUUGCCAAAAAGGCAUUCUUUGGGGAGCGGUCGGCACCAUCACUUUCCCUCUUUAGAGAGCUGCUACUGGCUGCUGGAAUUCAAAACCCACAAAUUGCAUUUCUAAACUUAAUUCGAUACAUAGAUGAGCGGAAAGAUCAGACAUUGAUGCUAUUGUUUUCAACCAAGAUGUUUUACUAUAUCAUUUAUAUUUUGUUUUUUUCUUCCCCCAGUUUUUAAACUUUUUGUUUGUUUGUUUUACAGGCCAAGCCUACUGCUGUUAGAAAACAUAUUUAGAAAUCACUUGGUUCUUCCUUGCCUGAACAUCAUCUAUUUAGUUAGCUUGUGUUGUUUAGAUGUGCUUCAGAUCUCAAAAAAAUUCCUAGGCCGCUAAGACGUCAGGGGAGCUGAUACACACUUCCAAGAACACGGAGACAUCAAAGGGAGCUGAGAGUCCACAGCGGCAGCAAAACAGGUGCUGCUUCACAUGCCCUUUGCUAAGAGUCCUGGAGUUUGAAGUCUCCACGGCCGAUCUAAAAGCAAGUUCCUGAGGAAGGAGCCGGAAAGUUCUCUGAAACCAGUAGUGGAAGCUAGUCUCUAAUAAAACAAAAUGUUACCACGCUUCUGGAAAGAUUCCACACAUCAAACAUUGAAUAAAAAGGACAAGGUAUAAUUUGCAGUGAAGUGCACAAAUCAGUGAAAUUUUACGUAUGCAACCUUUAUCACUCACCACCCAAACCAGAGUGGUGUCUUCCCAACACCCCAGGGCCUCUAGUCCUUUUCCAGCGUUGCCUGAAGACACAAACUACUGAUGGCUGCAUCCACAUGACUGACUUCAAACACAGCACGCUGCAGGAGAAAAGCCGGAUACGCGCGUGGAAAGUGGGUGGCUCCACCACCCUGCUGUUCAGGUUUUCUUUCUGAAAGUUCUUUUGGCUUUAUUAUGGAAUAGAGGUUACAGAAAGGCAAAAGCUUUGGCCGUAGCGGGUGGGAAGAUCUUCCUUACCCUGGAGGAGGAAGUAGGGUCUCCGUAAUGUAUGUGUGGUACUCAGGGCUCCCGGCAGCCCGAAGCCAGAGUGUGUCCUCACCCUGCCCCGGGUCAGCCCUGUGACCUGGAGGGAGCAACUGAAAAGCUCUGGGCCUCGGAUUCCUCAUCUGUGAAAUGGGGAUGCUAACAGUGCUACCUCCUCUGGUUGGUUUGUGGCAGAGGACACAUGAGGCAACCUGUGUAAAAUGCUUGGAGGGUGGCCAGUGUGGUUACCAUGGAGAUUGACUGGUACCGUCUUCCACAUCCUGUGUUGACUAAGCGCGCACACCAGAAUACAGUUCCAAACGAUUAUCAAACAUGAAUACAAUUCAGAAAAUAAACAUGCAGCAAAACUUGCCAUAAAGAUUGCAUGAAACUAUCACUUUAAGAAAAAUACAUUAAAAAUUACCUUAAAUACCGAAAAGUACUUUUGUAAGUAAGGAUCAGUCCAAUAAAUUUAACCUGUAUUUGAAUCAGUGUAAA
This 2913-nucleotide long non-coding RNA is filed under the name Homo sapiens (human). RNAcentral's name for it is "non-protein coding lnc-PFKP-16:3". The record is from RNAcentral. Lineage: Eukaryota; Metazoa; Chordata; Mammalia; Primates; Hominidae.